Long non-coding RNA from Haliotis rubra (blacklip abalone), 157 nucleotides. RefSeq lists it as uncharacterized. The record is from RefSeq and is a predicted model, not a curated record. The transcript is spliced from 3 exons. NCBI's taxonomy places the organism in Eukaryota, Metazoa, Mollusca, Gastropoda, Lepetellida, Haliotidae.
UGUUUUACUCAGCCUGUGGGUCAGGCUCUGUUGAAUGUAGCUGAUGCUGAGUACUUGUUAUGAAAACUGCUAAACAAAUAUUUAUGUUACUUUUUGGAACCAGUGACAUUAUUUUAUAGUGCAACCAUAAUUUUGAUGGAGCAACCAAACCUAUAAG